Molecule: ribosomal RNA, 253 nt
Filed under: uncultured bacterium
Lineage: Bacteria
Description: partial 16S ribosomal RNA
Rfam family: Bacterial small subunit ribosomal RNA
Source: RNAcentral
UACGUAGGGGGCAAGCGUUAUCCGGAUUUACUGGGUGUAAAGGGGGCGCAGACGGCGAUGCAAGCCAGGAGUGAAAGCCCGGGGCCCAACCCCGGGACUGCUCUUGGAACUGCGUGGCUGGAGUGCAGGAGGGGCAGGCGGAAUUCCUGGUGUAGCGGUGAAAUGCGUAGAUAUCAGGAGGAACACCGGUGGCGAAGGCGGCCUGCUGGACUGCAACUGACGUUGAGGCCCGAAAGCGUGGGGAGCAAAUAGG